Acyrthosiphon pisum (pea aphid) is the source of this 759-nucleotide long non-coding RNA. RefSeq lists it as uncharacterized. Lineage: Eukaryota; Metazoa; Arthropoda; Insecta; Hemiptera; Aphididae. The record is from RefSeq and is a predicted model, not a curated record. The transcript is spliced from 3 exons.
GACAAAAGCCGAUAUUGUUAUUUUUGGUGUAACUAAUAAAAUACCUAGGUGUAGAUACAUGAUUUGUUCGUCCGAAUGUUCCUAUUAGCAUUUUCUAUACAAUUUUUAAAACAAUUUCACUCUUUUUGAGCUCGUUAUGGGGAUAAUACAUUUUUAUAUAAUCGAUUAGUUUUGUUUUUAAUAUUAUUGUCAAGAAAAAGUGUCAAAGAAUUUGAAAAUGUAAUACGGGCAUCCUGUUAUAGUUUCUAUAAUAUCUGUUCACAAAUAUAAGAGAUACAUGGCAACCAUUUUUCAUGAGCAUUUAAAGUUCAUCUAAAUUCAUCAACAAUUUGGAAAUUAUUUUGUAUUUAAAAGUGUAUUAAAUGUUCAAUUGUAUAUGUUUUAGCUUAUGCUUAUAUUAAAAACUGUUAAAAAUUGAUCAUAGUCAUAUUAAUUACCAAAUUGAAUUAAAUAUGUAAAUUAUUGUUUUACAGGUUGUCAUACCCGUUCCCAUUAGCAACGAGGAGAGACAAACUUCUUUGAAAAAACAUUAUGCAAUUACCAAAAAGCUUCAGUGGCUGUCAUUAAAAUUCUUCAACUGUCGACAAUGCACAUAAUUGAUGAAGACUUUUAAACUAGACAUUUUUGAAUGGAUAAGUGUAUUCUUUUCAGUAAAACAUCCAAAGUGUCGCCUCGCCAAAUUACGUACAUUUUCAUUUAUUUCCAAAAAAUCAAUGAAAUAGAAGGAAAUAAUGGCUAAGAAUGUUCGAAUUAAAUGAU